UCUAUUAGAACAUAACAAUAAUUUAUAUAUCUAAAGGUAUUUAUCAUUGCUGCAGACAUUUUCCUUCCAUACUUCUGUAGGCAGCUUCUAGUUGUCAUUAUGACAUCACGAUGAUGUAACGAUACUGAGCCGGGUAUAUACAGGCUGACCGGCCGGCUGAGUCCUUUGAGGGUUGUAGAAGAGGAGAGAGGAGGAGAGAGAAUGGCGCUGACUAUUGCAGAGUUUGAGCUGUUUGGCUUAUUGUUUCUGGGAUGUUUGGGGAGUUACAUCUGGCAUAAAUAUACUGAGUGGAGAGAGAAGAGGGAGAGAGAGCCUGACCCGGAGAAUCCAGCGGAAGAUCCAGUGAAAAAUUCUUUUGAGGAUCCAUAUUACGAGAUCAAGGAGGAAGAAAUCAUUGAUUGGGUCUAUUCAGUGGCGGGCUGAGGAGGAAACACCAGGAGAAGAUUCCAUCUUUCUUACAGUUUAUGCCAUGUAAACUAUUACAUAAAAUCA
Hyla sarda is the source of this 492-nucleotide long non-coding RNA. RefSeq lists it as uncharacterized. The transcript is spliced from 3 exons. Lineage: Eukaryota; Metazoa; Chordata; Amphibia; Anura; Hylidae. The record is from RefSeq and is a predicted model, not a curated record.